UACGAAGGGGGCUAGCGCUGUUCGGAUUUACUGGGCGUAAAGCGCACGUAGGCGGAUCGAUCAGUCAGGGGUGAAAUCCCAGAGCUCAACUCUGGAACUGCCUUUGAUACUGUCGAUCUGGAGUAUGGAAGAGGUGAGUGGAAUUCCGAGUGUAGAGGUGAAAUUCGUAGAUAUUCGGAGGAACACCAGUGGCGAAGGCGGCUCACUGGUCCAUUACUGACGCUGAGGUGCGAAAGCGUGGGGAGCAAACAGG
This 253-nucleotide ribosomal RNA is filed under the name uncultured bacterium. RNAcentral describes it as "partial 16S ribosomal RNA". It matches the Rfam family "Bacterial small subunit ribosomal RNA", at positions 524 to 776 of the family's 1533-position model. The record is from RNAcentral.